Molecule: non-coding RNA, 28 nt
Filed under: Bombyx mori (domestic silkworm)
Lineage: Eukaryota; Metazoa; Arthropoda; Insecta; Lepidoptera; Bombycidae
Source: RNAcentral
UUACUCAUAAUGGCGGCGUCGUGCGAGA